UACGGGGGGUGCGAGCGUUGUCCGGAAUCACUGGGCGUAAAGGGCGCGUAGGUGGUUUGAUAAGGGUGUGGUGAAAGUCCGGGGCUCAACCCCGGAUCUGCCGUGCCGACUGUCAAACUCGAGGGCUGUAGAGGCAGACGGAAUUCCGGGUGUAGCGGUGGAAUGCGUAGAUAUCGGGAGGAACACCAGUGGCGAAGGCGGCUUUCUGGCCCGUUCUUGACGCUGAGGCGCGAAAGCUAGGGUAGCAAACGGG
Molecule: ribosomal RNA, 253 nt
Filed under: uncultured bacterium
Lineage: Bacteria
Description: partial 16S ribosomal RNA
Rfam family: Bacterial small subunit ribosomal RNA
Source: RNAcentral